Molecule: long non-coding RNA, 3239 nt
Organism: Elaeis guineensis (African oil palm)
Lineage: Eukaryota; Viridiplantae; Streptophyta; Magnoliopsida; Arecales; Arecaceae
Source: RefSeq, a predicted model, not a curated record
GUACAACCCGAAGCGAACGAGCAAAUCCCGCGGUGGCGUGGAGGGGAAUUAUUUGAGGAAUAUCCCUUGGGAGUUAGGAAUAUUAUCUCCGGCCAGGGAAUAUAUCCUACGGGGUUUAGUAAUACCGAGCGUGGCACCGUUCUCCCUCUUCCUCUCCACCUCUUUGGCUUUCUCCUGCCGCAACCUCUCUCAAAGUCCGGCCUGCCUCCACUGGCCGAUAAUCACAGCAAUAAAGAAGAAUUCGACUUGCAAGCCCAAGUGCGGAGCUCAAUGUCUUGAAAGACAUCCUACUUGCAUAUUAUUUUGUUUAUCAGGUAACUGCUACAUGGUAAGCUCAAGAUCAAUAUACAGACUCUACAGUUGUAUUAUAUGAUAUCACAUUUUGUACUAUUAACUUUAUUCAACAGUUUGACUCAUACAUGCAUGUCUUCAAAGCUUCCAAUGGAUGAUAUUUAGGGAUAUAGGGAAUGCCAUUAAUUUUUUACUUCUAAUUAUAGUAUAGAAAUAGAGGGCAGGCUUAGGCACAUUAGUAAUAUUACUCCAUUAUGACUUAGAUGUUAUAGGUUCGAAAUAUAGAAAUGGUCUCUCUGUACACUAAGUCUAGAGGUAAGGCUGCGUACAUCUGACCCUCCCCUGAUCUUAUAUUUGUGGAAGCUUCAUGCGUCGAGAUGCCCUUUUAAUUAUAGUAUAGAAAUAAUUGAUGCAUUAGACCUAGUACUUGAUUUGACCAAACUAGAGUGCUUCUUUCCUGAGAAUUUAACUAAGAACACAAAUUUCUAGUUAAACAUGGAGUUCCCACUGUAAGACAGUUCUGGAUCCCCUGAUUGUCAAAAUAAUCACAGUCUAAGCUUUUGCUUCCCAAUGCAUAUUCGUAGUUCUUGUUAUGUAAUUUUGAUAAUUCAUUAUGAAAGAUGAAAAAUGUAUUUGGAUUCAUCUAUUUACAUGGAAUUGUUCAGGCAAUAAAAUGCUGGAAUUACUGUUUGUGUGCUUUACUGCUUACUAACAGCAGUGUCUAGCAACAACGAAGCACUCACAAGAUAUUACUUGUAAUACUGUAGAAUAUAUACCAAUUCAAGUAACACACUGGCAUGCAGUGACUGUCAUAAUAACUCCACCAGAGACUAUGAUGGAGCACUUCAGAACAACAAGCACUUUAAAUGAAUUUAAAUAUCCUUUUUCUGUCAAUCAUGGAAGUAGAUGUUAUCUAAAUAGUAGUGCUGAAAGUUCCAGUAUUCUGAUUAAUCAAGUAAAUUUUAUAGAGCUGGUAACUCAAUUUUCUUAUUCAAUGGUUGCCUAUAUAUGUUGCUUGCCUCACAGGUAAAGAUGUUAGACAAAAACCUCCACUCUGGCAUACAUUCUCCAGUCUGAGGUAUAAAACAAGCCAUGUGGGCCACAAAAUGCCAUAUGUCAAUUGACAUCGAGAAGAAGUACUAAUAUAUACAAAGAAACGGUUAUCCUGGCAUACCUAGUCAAGGGAUUUACCUUAGCCGAUGAAGGUUGUUCUCAAGUGACUGACAUUUAAAGUCCAAGUAAACAAAAUAAUACACCGAAUAUUUGGACUGUUUUUUUCAUUUUUCUUUUCCCAGGCACUUUCCUUUCUUUCGAACCUCCUAGAUUAUCCAGUACCACAAAAGGGCAUGUAUUUGGCAUUUUAUAACUUUUGCAGAUAUUAUAAUGACUAAUUACAGAUAUCUAGGUAAAUUACAAAUUUUAACAAUCCCCAGACCAUGUACAUUUUAAAACAUUUCCUUAAAUUAGUUCGAUCUUAUAAGUUCUACUAGCUUAACAAGCAUCAACUGCUAAAAAUACACAAUGAACAAUAUCUUGUUCAGAUAUAACUUAUGGCCUUCUAUUGCAUAGAGUGUACAGGUUCCAAACAUGGUGCUUGCAGGUCUCUGAAGUCAUGAAUGUUGACUGACUAGUUGCUUUGAUUUUUCUUAGGAGUUUGCAAUUACUUCCAGAAAAAAAAAACCAGCAACUUGCACUGUUUAUAGUUGUGAUAAGGUGUGGAGAACAUUUUGAAAAUUAACAUGUUGGCCCAGGCUACACCAUGGGAUACAUAAUCCUCAGAAUUCAGCAGCAACUAGUAGAAAACGGAUGUAAAGUACUGCCCUUUCCGAAUGAAAAUAAGGCAUACCUCUUCUGGGCUUUCAUGGCUCACCAAAUGUCCACCAUGAAGUUCUACCAUUCUUGCAGCUGGUUGCAGCAUCUCUGCUAGUCUCUUUGCAUGAUUUAACUGAGCAAUGAUAUCAUCCCUGUUAAAAUUUUGAAUUGUAAAAUCAGUCUCCUAGCAUUCUCUACCCAUGAUUCUGACAAAUAGCGGUUUGGUUGUUGGCUGAUGAGUGUGAUGUGUGUGCGUGCACGGGUGGGAAGAAAGAAUCAUCAGUCACGGAUCAACAAUAAGUUCCAACCUUCCAUGAAUCACUGAGACCAGAAACCCAGAAGCACGAAUUGUGUCAAGUUCCUUUAGUUUCAUCUUGUGUUUCCAGCACGCAUUGAUUUGGCCUUCAAAACCACAGUUUGAUUGCAUACCAGUUGAUGAUAUGGCCUUCACAUAUUCCUGAACCAACCAAAGUUUAUGCUCAAUAGCAUUGAAAUGAAUGAUCAGACCCAAUAGUAAAAGCAUAUAAAUAAUCAUCACGCUUGUCGUUUUUCAAAAAAAGUAGUCGUUAUCAUCAGUUAAACUACUUUGAGAUUAAACUGAUGGCUCUUAGAGAGAGAACCUAAGAUAUGUAAGCAGUAUUUGCAGUAGAAGGAAAAGUUUAUCAGCACUCGACAACAUGGCUAGAGCUUUCAGACAGAAGAUAUGCAUGAAAGAGAUGCAAGAGUUUGAGGCGGUGGUGAUUUUGGCCAUUUCUUUUUGUCCCAUUGUUAUGAUAUAGAUAAAGAGAACAUUGUCCAUGCAUAGAUAUCAUUUUCAGUGAACAAGCAAGCAUUAUCCUCAAGAGCAAAAAUAUCUUGUCCAAGAGCAAAACUGUAGAAUCUCAUUCCAAGAGAAUGGGCAACCUCAUAAUGUCAAGAUGAAGGGAAAAGCGCGUAAGAAUUUCAGAGGGAAACUUGGUAUCCAUAGAAGUGAUACUGCUGGCUUCAUAUUUUUUUUUUUUUGCUACAGCACUAAUGCCACUUACUUGAUAAAGAAUUUUCCUUCGUGUACACGAUCCAACAUAUUCAUCUAGAUAUUCCUGCCAAUAGAACAAAAAGUGAACAGUUUUUGAAUAAAUUGCUUUUGAAUGAAUUGG